GUGUCAGCCGCCGCGGUAAUACGUAGGGUGCGAGCGUUAAUCGGAUUUACUGGGCGUAAAGCGUGCGCAGGCGGCCCGUUAAGACAGGUGUGAAAUCCCUGGGCUCAACCUAGGAAUUGCGCUUGUGACUGGCGGGCUCGAGUACGGUAGAGGGGGGUGGAAUUCCUGGUGUAGCAGUGAAAUGCGUAGAGAUCAGGAGGAACACCGAUGGCGAAGGCAGCCCCCUGGGACUGUACUGACUCUCAUGCUCGAAAGCGUGGGGAGCAAACAGGAUUAGAUACCCUGGUAGUCCACGCCCUGAACGGUGGGCACUAGGUGUGGGGCUCGAGAGGGUUCCGUGCCGAAGGGAAACCAAUAAGUGCCCCGCCUGGGGAGUACGGCCGCAAGGUUGAAACUUAAAUGAAUUGACGGGG
RNAcentral lists this ribosomal RNA (413 nucleotides) under uncultured prokaryote. RNAcentral describes it as "bacterial SSU rRNA". It matches the Rfam family "Bacterial small subunit ribosomal RNA", at positions 505 to 918 of the family's 1533-position model. The record is from RNAcentral.